Molecule: long non-coding RNA, 595 nt
Filed under: Prunus persica (peach)
Lineage: Eukaryota; Viridiplantae; Streptophyta; Magnoliopsida; Rosales; Rosaceae
Description: long non-coding RNA (PPER_LNC006048)
Source: RNAcentral
UUCCCUAUUAUUUUCUAUUAUAUUUAUCUGCUUUUCUAUUACUAACCAUUAACAAAAAUGGACCCUUGGUAAUACUAAACAUAUUAUCAGUGGGAGACCGUUACUAAUACUAACAUUUUUCUUAUUUUAUUCGGUGGUGGUUUUAACCCCACAUUUAUUUACUGUAUGGUGUAGGAUUAUUACCCAUACGACAGUAUUUAUUUAAAAGGGUGGUGCGGGUUUAUCGUCCACGCCUUUACUUUUAUUUAAAUGUAUGGAGUAGAAUUAGUGCCCAUACAAGCACAUUUACUUUACCGCACAUUUAAUUUUAUUUAAGGUAUGGUGCGGGAUUAACGUCCAUAUAGCAAGCAAUUUAAAUUAUGAAUUUACUUUACCGCACAUUUAUUUUAUUUACUGUAUGGUGUAGGUUUAUUACCCAUACAACAAUAUUUAUUUAAAAGGGUGGUGCAGGUUUAUCGUCCACGCCUUUAUUUUCAUUUAAAAGUAUGGAGCAGAAUUAGUGCCCAUACACGCACGUUUAAUUUAUGAAUUUAAUUUACCGCACAUUUACAUUUAUUUAAAGUGUGGUGCGGGUUUAUCGUCCAUACCAGUAAUU